CAGUAGCCACGGGAAUACGGAGGGGCUAGCGUUGUUCGGAAUUACUGGGCGUAAAGCGCACGUAGGCGGCUUUUUAAGUCAGAGGUGAAAUCCUGGAGCUCAACUCCAGAACUGCCUUUGAUACUGAAAGUCUUGAGUAUGGGAGAGGUGAGUGGAACUGCGAGUGUAGAGGUGAAAUUCGUAGAUAUUCGCAAGAACACCAGUGGCGAAGGCGGCUCACUGGCCCAUUACUGGCGCUGAGGCACGAAAGCGUGGGGAGCAAACAGGAUUAGAUACCCCCGUAGUCCCUGUCUCUUAUACC
Molecule: ribosomal RNA, 301 nt
Filed under: uncultured bacterium
Lineage: Bacteria
Description: partial 16S ribosomal RNA
Rfam family: Bacterial small subunit ribosomal RNA
Source: RNAcentral